RNAcentral lists this small nucleolar RNA (67 nucleotides) under Trypanosoma cruzi. RNAcentral describes it as "H/ACA snoRNA". Lineage: Eukaryota; Euglenozoa; Kinetoplastea; Trypanosomatida; Trypanosomatidae. The record is from RNAcentral.
UCUCGGGACGCACCAAGAUGGCCCACGGCACCUGGCUGAGAAGUCCGCUCCAUGGCUAAAGUCCCUU